Molecule: ribosomal RNA, 468 nt
Filed under: uncultured bacterium
Lineage: Bacteria
Description: partial 16S ribosomal RNA
Rfam family: Bacterial small subunit ribosomal RNA
Source: RNAcentral
GACGAACGCUGGCGGCGUGCUUAACACAUGCAAGUCGAACGGAAAGGCCCUGCUUUUGUGGGGUGCUCGAGUGGAGAACGGGUGAGUAACACGUGAGUAACCUGCACUUGCCUUUGGGAUAACUUCAGGAAACUGGGGCUCAUACCGGCUAGGAGCUACUGCUGCAUGGUGGGGGUUGGAUAGUUUCGGCGGUUGGGGAUGGACUCGCGGCUUAUCAGCUUGUUGGUGUGGUAGUGUCUUACCAAGGCUUUGAACGGUAGCCGGCCUGGUCGGGUGACCGGCCACAUUGGGAUGGAGAUACGGCCCAGACUCCUACGCUAGGCAGCGGAGGAGUAGAGUGCACAAGAGGCGGAGGCCUGAUGCAGCAAAGCCGCGUGCGGUAAGACGGGCAGCGGUUUGGAUUCCGAUGUCGCCUGUGACGAAGCGUUAGUGACGGUAAUGGGUAAAUAAGCACCGGCUAACUACGUG